Molecule: ribosomal RNA, 480 nt
Filed under: uncultured bacterium
Lineage: Bacteria
Description: bacterial SSU rRNA
Rfam family: Bacterial small subunit ribosomal RNA
Source: RNAcentral
UGGGGAAUUUUGGACAAUGGGCGAAAGCCUGAUCCAGCAAUGCCGCGUGAGUGAAGAAGGCCUUCGGGUUGUAAAGCUCUUUUGUCAGGGAAGAAACGGUGAGGGCUAAUAUCCCUUGCUAAUGACGGUACCUGAAGAAUAAGCACCGGCUAACUACGUGCCAGCAGCCGCGGUAAUACGUAGGGUGCAAGCGUUAAUCGGAAUUACUGGGCGUAAAGCGUGCGCAGGCGGUUUUGUAAGUCUGAUGUGAAAUCCCCGGGCUCAACCUGGGAAUUGCAUUGGAGACUGCAAGGCUAGAAUCUGGCAGAGGGGGGUAGAAUUCCACGUGUAGCAGUGAAAUGCGUAGAUAUGUGGAGGAACACCGAUGGCGAAGGCAGCCCCCUGGGUCAAGAUUGACGCUCAUGCACGAAAGCGUGGGGAGCAAACAGGAUUAGAUACCCUGGUAGUCCACGCCCUAAACGAUGUCUAUUAGUUGUCGGG